Molecule: ribosomal RNA, 433 nt
Filed under: uncultured bacterium
Lineage: Bacteria
Description: partial 16S ribosomal RNA
Rfam family: Bacterial small subunit ribosomal RNA
Source: RNAcentral
AACGAACGCUGGCGGCAUGCCUAACACAUGCAAGUCGAACGAGACCUUCGGGUCUAGUGGCGCACGGGUGCGUAACGCGUGGGAACCUGCCCUUAGGUUCGGAAUAACUCCCCGAAAGGGGUGCUAAUACCGGAUAAUGUCUUCGGACCAAAGAUUUAUCGCCUUUGGAUGGGCCCGCGUUGGAUUAGCUAGUUGGUAGGGUAAAAGCCUACCAAGGCGACGAUCCAUAGCUGGUCUGAGAGGAUGAUCAGCCACACUGGGACUGAGACACGGCCCAGACUCCUACGGGAGGAAGCAGUGGGGAAUAUUGGACAAUGGGCGAAAGCCGGAUCCAGCAAUGACGCGGGAGUGAUGAAGGCCUUAGGGUUGUAAAGCUCUAUUACCCGGGAUGAUAAUGACAGUACCGGGAGAAUAAGCUCCGGCUAACUCCGUG